RNAcentral lists this long non-coding RNA (1342 nucleotides) under Numida meleagris (helmeted guineafowl). Its description in RNAcentral is "lncRNA (ENSNMEG00000009466.1)". Lineage: Eukaryota; Metazoa; Chordata; Aves; Galliformes; Numididae. The record is from RNAcentral.
AUGGUUGGCACCAUUCUGACUGUCAGACACCUCCAUUGCAAGGAAGCUGCUUCUGGCACUGUUCCCUGUUUGCCCCUUGCAAUUUUCUCAGUGACCACUGGCCCCACCAAGAUGAAGCCACCUGCCUGCUUUGCCAGUCCCCAGGAUGAACGCAUCAGCGUGCAGCGUACAAUAGGCAGGAGACAGCUGGAGAAAUGCAACAGAAGAUCUCAGGUCACAGAAUCCAAUCUGACAACAUACACACAGAUUUGUAACAAAACUGGUCUCAUAAGACCAUGGAACCCUCUAAAAGCAGCAUUUCUGUCCUCUUCUGUCGUCUGCCUCUUGGCUUUUGCAGCUUGCUCUGUUUUCAUCUAUGAUGGAUUUAGAGAUGUUUGGCAGAAAAUGGCAAGAGAUUAUCCUACGUACAGAUACGCCUGCUGAAAACAAUCAAUGAAUUAAAAAUAACCACGGACUGCAACUGACCUUUCAUAUAACCCGAUAUAUCCCCAUAUUUAUGACAUGCCUUAAUUAUGAUUAGCAUUUGUCUUAAUGAAAACAGCGGCAGAGCACAAUAUUUAGCAUUUGGUUUAUAUUAUUUACAAUUUCAGCAUUCUGUUUACAGAGGUUUACAAUCCCCAGCCUGGAAAUCCUACUCAGAUGAGCAACUCAAUCUUAUGUAAGGAUUCUGACUGAGAGCCGCAGGACUGGUUCUUUAAUUCUCAUCUAAACACAAGAUGAACGGGUACACAAAUAUAUGGAUCAGUUUAGGUAGUGGACGCAUCCUUACUGGAGACAGCCUGUCUGCUAUCUGCAAAGGCUUGAUUAGCAGAUGAGUACCAUAAUGCUAAAUGCAAAGUCUUGACGGGAUCCGAGAGCUCUGCAGUACUUCUGAUGGAAGCACAGUACAACCAGCAUCACACUGCACAGACCGAUCCCUCCCCAGAGACAAACGUGUUCACCACCGUAGCACCGCUAUCUGCAUAAAAACAUUUUGCAAUAUUAUGUUGUAAAUGUUCAUUCUACUCAGUACAAAGGUCAAAGACAAGAACGUAUUAAAUCUGAGUUGAGCUCUAAGUGAGGGUAUACACAUAUACGUUUUAUCUAUCCUAAGUCCAGUUUUGAAGUAGAAUUAUCGUGGUAAUGUACAGCCUAGGCAAUCUGAUUUAUAAAACACAAUUUGUUCAUUUUGAUAUUAAGUAAGGGGAGAAGUGCAACUAUGAAACAUACUUCUGUGGCUAGCAACUUGUUUAGUUUUGAAAAUCAUAUUCUGUUCGUAGGUAUCAAGGUACUAUUUGGAGGGAUUUGUAAAUAACAAAUCUUAAAAAUGCAUGAAAUAAAUAUUAAGUGUCAUAUAAAAACA